UACGGAGGGUGCGAGCGUUGUCCGGAAUCAUUGGGCGUAAAGGGCGCGUAGGUGGCCACUUCAAGCGUGCGGUGAAAGUCGGGGGCUCAACCCCUGAUCGGCCGUGCGAACUGGGGGGCUGGAGCACUGUAGAGGCAGGCGGAAUUCCGGGUGUAGCGGUGGAAUGCGUAGAUAUCAGGAGGAACACCGAUGGCGAAGGCAGCUCGCUGGGACGGUACUGACGCUGAGGCGCGAAAGCGUGGGGAGCAAACAGG
Molecule: ribosomal RNA, 254 nt
Filed under: uncultured bacterium
Lineage: Bacteria
Description: partial 16S ribosomal RNA
Rfam family: Bacterial small subunit ribosomal RNA
Source: RNAcentral